AAUAAAUAGAACAGAAGAUAGCCGGUUUUUCUUUUUCCUCUCUUCUCUUCUCCCCGAGCUUCUUCCAUGGAUUCGCUGUUGAAACGGAAGAUUUAACGGAGGAAUUAAACAUGCAGUCAUACUGAUUCAUCACCAGGCCGGAGAAUUCAUCAAAAAGCAAGUUAUAGACAAAGAUGAGCACUACCCGAAAUCGUUUUGCCAUUCGAAGACAGAUGAUUACUGAAGAACAACUAGCUGAUCAAAGAGAAUUGGAUCGUGUGAGACACAGAAAUCGCAGGAAAAAUAUGACGGAGGAAGAGAAGCUGCUGGAACUAGAGUGUAGGUGUAUAUAUAGCCGCAAAGGAAAACGCAAACCAAACUUUAUUUGGACAGACAGUUUGGAGUGCCUUAUUUGCUUACCGUUUUUCGUCUUUUCAUAUUUAUCAAUGAUAUUUAGCUUUCUAAUUCUCAUGGCAUUCUCUAAGUCGAAGGAUAUGACAAGGUAGUCUCAAGAAGUGGAUCAAAAAUAUACUUGAAAUGGUGGAUAGUUCUUACAUCAGAAGCUCUUAUGAUGUAACCAGAGUCACGAAGAUGGAAGACAAGGAUGAGGUGCUUCUGAAAUUGCGUUAAGCCGCUGAUGGUGAUGUCUUUUCAGCACCCGAUGGUGCUCCUGGCUUGCAUCAUGGAGUAGUUACUCGCGGAGGUAACAUUGUGUAUGAGUGAGAGAACAAUAAUACAAGGCAAAAUAAACGGAUGAAAUGAUCAAGACAUGGGAUUAUGAACAUUUUUAUGUAUGUAUAUGUUACAUCUACUUAGUUAUGUAGUAGGAGCAUCACAACUUCAUGCAUCAUAUAACCAAGCCAGGAAAAAUGGGAUAUUGGUAACCCUCAUUCCCAAUAACCUAUCUUUUAUUUUUUUUGGUCAUAUACAAUUGGACCACUGUAUAAUAGGUGUUUCAUUGGUCUCUCACGUCUUUUACUAAACCAAGUAAGGAAGAGGAGAACUUAUCAUUA
Long non-coding RNA from Papaver somniferum (opium poppy), 992 nucleotides. RefSeq lists it as uncharacterized. NCBI's taxonomy places the organism in Eukaryota, Viridiplantae, Streptophyta, Magnoliopsida, Ranunculales, Papaveraceae. The transcript has 5 exons. The record is from RefSeq and is a predicted model, not a curated record.